UGUAUAUACAACAUUAAAUUAAGUUUGCUUUCUCCUGUUAAUCUUUCUUUCAUUAUAGGGAGGGGGCGGUCUUCAGCCAAAAACCUAGAAGACAGAGGGGAAGUAAUUUUUCCUCUCCUACACACCUAAGCAAAAACAAAACCAAAGUGCAGUCUAAAGGGUUUUUGCAAAACUUAAAUCAUGUUAUAAAUUUCUCUUUAAAAUGCAGAGUAACAACUUGUAGAGAACCCAAGUUUAGUAGUCCUUUUUUUAAAGUGAAAAAGAGAUGGUAAUGCAUGGUCUGGUGAGUAAUGUUUAGAAAACCAUACAAGAUUGCUGUCCACCUGAAACUCAUACCUUCCUCCCACCCUCUGUCUUGAAUUAACUUCCUUCUUUCCUGCCCCCGUGCCUGCCUCUCUCCUUCCUUCCUUUGAAUUGCAGGUUCAUGUUCAUGGCAGAUGCUGUAUUCUCCCCUUCAUUUUUAGUGAAACAACUUCAGUUUUAUUCAGGGCUCAAUUUUAUUCAUUUUAUUCAACUUCAAUUUUAUUCAUCUGCCAAGUUAAACUACAACAACAGCAGUAUCAGCAGUGGAUUUCUCAGCCCAUCGUGCAUGUGCGGUCCUAGCUCAGGAGAUGUGGAUUCACUGGGAGGGGCUUCGAGGAAAGCCCUUUAAAAUGGGGAAGAUAAGCCAGCUUGUUACAUUUGUUUUCUGGCUUUGCCCUGUCUUUUCUCCUCGUCCUCCCUGAUGUACGAGUGCAUUGCUGCAAGCCUUUUCACUGUGUGGUGAGGAGAGGAAGGACGCCUGCAAAGCAAGGCCCAGCAGGAAGAGUCUGGUCCCUAUUGGUGCAGCUGAUGAUGUGUUCUCUGUCUCUAAUUAUGAAGACUACUGCUGCUACUGCUAAGUUGCUUCAGUCGUGUCCGACUCUGUGUGACCCCAUAGACGGCAGCCCACCAGGCUCCCCCGUCCCUGGGAUUCUCCAGGGCACCAUGUCUAAAUAUUCAACUUCUCCUAAAGGAAGAAAAGAAACAUCUUGGGUAGAUAUCUCUCUGAAGAUGCCUGAGAAGUCCAACUACUUGUUUCCUGCAUAUAUUACUUUAAGCCUGGUAUUAAAGACAUUUUCACUGAUAUACCAAGUACUUUGGAGGGAGAGAUUUUGAAUAAAAACAAUGAAAUAUAAUUAGUUACACAAGCUUUGUUAUGACUGCAUUUUAUAAAAGUAAUAGAAAAUAAUUAAAAGAAUAUUGUGCUUUAGGGUUCUUAACUCUCUGUUAUGUUUCAUAAUUUAUGUGAAAUUUACUUUCACCUCAACACUGCUGUGAACCAGGUAUUCUAACUCCAUUUUGAAGAUGAGAAAACUCAGAGAAGUUCAGCAAAUGACUCAAAGUCAUGCAUGCAUGCGUUUAUGCGGUACUAAGUUACUUCAAUCAUGUCUGACUCUUUGCAACACUAUGGACUGUAGUCCCCCAGGCUCCUCUGUCCAUGGGAUUCUCCAGGUGACAACACUAGAGUGGGUUGUCAUGCCCUCCUCCAGGGGAUCUUCCCAACCCAGGGACUGAACCCGUGUCUCUUAUGUCUCCUGCAUUGGUAGGCAGGUUCUUUGCCACUAGUGCCCACCAGGUUGCACAGCUAUUAAAUGGCAGGCUCAAGACACAAAUCUAGGUUGAGCUGACUUCAAAGUUGGUACUUAUUUGAAAAGUAUCUAGGAUGGUGUCAAACCCAUGUGUCAAGUUGUGUUAGUCAUGUCUGACUCUCUGUGAUCCCAUGUACUGUAGCCAGCCAGGCUCCUCUGUCCAUGGGAUUUCCCAGGCAAGAAUACCAGACCCAUAGUAAACAUCAAUAAACACUAUCUCUCCUUUCCUAUAUAGACUCUUUCACUUUGUUAUACUGUGAUUUGAAUGGUUCUUUCAAGAAACGAGUGGAGUGGGACUAUGCU
Bos taurus (domestic cattle) is the source of this 1913-nucleotide long non-coding RNA. The record is from Ensembl. Lineage: Eukaryota; Metazoa; Chordata; Mammalia; Artiodactyla; Bovidae.